GCUGAAACUCGCCUACAUGAAGCUGGAGUUACUAGUAAUCGCAGAUCAGAAUGCUGCGGUGAAUGCGUUCCCGGGUCUUGUACACACCGCCCGUCACACCACGGGAGUUGGAGACGCCCGAAGCCGACUAUCUAACCUUUUGGAAGAAGUCGUCGAAGGUGGAAUCAAUAACUGGGGUGAAGUCGUAACAAGGUAGCCGUAUCGGAAGGUGCGGCUGGAUCACCUCCUUUCUA
This 233-nucleotide ribosomal RNA is filed under the name Clostridioides difficile. Its description in RNAcentral is "partial 16S ribosomal RNA". It matches the Rfam family "Bacterial small subunit ribosomal RNA", at positions 1304 to 1533 of the family's 1533-position model. Lineage: Bacteria; Bacillati; Bacillota; Clostridia; Peptostreptococcales; Peptostreptococcaceae. The record is from RNAcentral.